CGUCAGGGGCUAUGGACUGCGGACCGACAAACCCCGCCAGGGCAGGAAUGCAGCAACGGUAGUCAGAUCCACUUUGCCGUAGUUCUCUGGCGGUC
This 95-nucleotide signal recognition particle RNA is filed under the name Verrucomicrobiota bacterium. RNAcentral describes it as "signal recognition particle sRNA small type". It matches the Rfam family "Bacterial small signal recognition particle RNA". Rfam says of the family: The signal recognition particle (SRP) is a universally conserved ribonucleoprotein involved in the co-translational targeting of proteins to membranes. Archaeal SRP consists of a 7S RNA and homologues of the eukaryotic SRP19 and SRP54 proteins. RNAcentral also lists the same sequence under 1 other name. Lineage: Bacteria; Pseudomonadati; Verrucomicrobiota. The record is from RNAcentral.